Non-coding RNA from Vicia faba (fava bean), 237 nucleotides. The record is from the annotation of a GenBank genome assembly. NCBI's taxonomy places the organism in Eukaryota, Viridiplantae, Streptophyta, Magnoliopsida, Fabales, Fabaceae.
AUGACAAUAUACUUCUGUCUUAUACAUGCAGAACAGGAUGAGACAAUUCCAAUUUGCAUUUACCACGGAAAUGGAAUAAACUUAAUUCCAAUUUGCAUUUACCACGGAAAUGGAAUAAACUUAAUUCCAAUUUCCAACCAAUCUAUAAAUUGUUCCACUUCAAAUGGUUUUGAAACAUAUAACACUAACUAUGAUUUAUGCAGAUUUAUGCACUACCAUCAUAGUUUUCAUUUUUGA